AUAAAUCCCAAGCAUCAUCCA
Molecule: microRNA, 21 nt
Filed under: Brassica rapa (field mustard)
Lineage: Eukaryota; Viridiplantae; Streptophyta; Magnoliopsida; Brassicales; Brassicaceae
Description: bra-miR5654a
Source: miRBase by way of RNAcentral